UGGGGUUUAGCUCAGUUGGUAGAGCGCGCGCUUCGCAUGCGUGAGGCCAGGGGUUCGAUUCCCCUAACCUCCA
Transfer RNA from Catenaria anguillulae PL171, 73 nucleotides. It matches the Rfam family "tRNA". From Rfam's summary of the family: Transfer RNA (tRNA) molecules are approximately 80 nucleotides in length. NCBI's taxonomy places the organism in Eukaryota, Fungi, Blastocladiomycota, Blastocladiomycetes, Blastocladiales, Catenariaceae. The record is from Rfam.